Molecule: ribosomal RNA, 373 nt
Filed under: uncultured bacterium
Lineage: Bacteria
Description: bacterial SSU rRNA
Rfam family: Bacterial small subunit ribosomal RNA
Source: RNAcentral
UAAUACGGAGGGUGCAAGCGUUGUCCGGAUUUAUUGGGUUUAAAGGGUGCGUAGGCGGCUCCAUAAGUCAGCGUUGAAAUACGGCAGCUUAACUGUCGGACUGGCAUUGAUACUGUGGAGCUUGAGUAAAGUUGAGGUAGGCGGAAUUGAUGGUGUAGCGGUGAAAUGCUUAGAUAUCAUCAAGAACAUCGAUUGCGAAGGCAGCUUACUAAGUUUUAACUGACGCUGAGGCACGAAAGCGUGGGGAUCGAACAGGAUUAGAUACCCUGGUAGUCCACGCUGUAAACGAUGAUUACUCGAUGUUGGCGAUAUACAGUCAGCGUCCAAGCGAAAGCGUUAAGUAAUCCACCUGGGGAGUACGACCGCAAGGUUG